RNAcentral lists this ribosomal RNA (253 nucleotides) under uncultured bacterium. RNAcentral describes it as "partial 16S ribosomal RNA". It matches the Rfam family "Bacterial small subunit ribosomal RNA", at positions 524 to 776 of the family's 1533-position model. The record is from RNAcentral.
CACGUAGGGCGCAAGCGUUGUCCGGAAUUAUUGGGCGUAAAGAGCUCGUAGGCGGUCUGUUGCGUCCGCUGUGAAAACUCGGGGCUUAACCCCGAGCCUGCAGUGGAUACGGGCAGACUAGAGGUAGGUAGGGGAGAAUGGAAUUCCCGGUGUAGCGGUGAAAUGCGCAGAUAUCAGGAGGAACACCGGUGGCGAAGGCGGAUCUCUGGGCCUUACCUGACGCUGAGGCGCGAAAGCUAGGGGAGCGAACAGG